This 600-nucleotide ribosomal RNA is filed under the name Escherichia coli. Its description in RNAcentral is "bacterial SSU rRNA". It matches the Rfam family "Bacterial small subunit ribosomal RNA", at positions 851 to 1451 of the family's 1533-position model. Lineage: Bacteria; Pseudomonadati; Pseudomonadota; Gammaproteobacteria; Enterobacterales; Enterobacteriaceae. The record is from RNAcentral.
GCUAACGCGUUAAGUCGACCGCCUGGGGAGUACGGCCGCAAGGUUAAAACUCAAAUGAAUUGACGGGGGCCCGCACAAGCGGUGGAGCAUGUGGUUUAAUUCGAUGCAACGCGAAGAACCUUACCUGGUCUUGACNUCCACGGAAGUUUUCNNAGAUGANAAUGUGCCUUCGGGAACCGUGAGACAGGUGCUGCAUGGCUGUCGUCAGCUCGUGUUGUGAAAUGUUGGGUUAAGUCCCGCAACGAGCGCAACCCUUAUCCUUUGUUGCCAGCGGUCCGGCCGGGAACUCAAAGGAGACUGCCAGUGAUAAACUGGAGGAAGGUGGGGAUGACGUCAAGUCAUCAUGGCCCUUACGACCAGGGCUACACACGUGCUACAAUGGCGCAUACAAAGAGAAGCGACCUCGCGAGAGCAAGCGGACCUCAUAAAGUGCGUCGUAGUCCGGAUUGGAGUCUGCAACUCGACUCCAUGAAGUCGGAAUCGCUAGUAAUCGUGGAUCAGAAUGCCACGGUGAAUACGUUCCCGGGCCUUGUACACACCGCCCGUCACACCAUGGGAGUGGGUUGCAAAAGAAGUAGGUAGCUUAACCUUCGGGAGGGC